RNAcentral lists this unclassified non-coding RNA (358 nucleotides) under Geotrichum pseudocandidum. RNAcentral describes it as "Galactomyces pseudocandidus sequence contains 18S rRNA gene, ITS1, 5.8S rRNA gene, ITS2, 28S rRNA gene". The stretch from base 95 to 243 matches the Rfam family "5.8S ribosomal RNA". Lineage: Eukaryota; Fungi; Ascomycota; Dipodascomycetes; Dipodascales; Dipodascaceae. The record is from RNAcentral.
GAACCUGCGGAAGGAUCAUUAAAGAUUUAAUAUUAAUUGUGAAAUUAAAACGAUAUUAACAAAAAAUCAUACAAUCAAUUAUAAAAAAAAUCAAAACUUUUAACAAUGGAUCUCUUGGUUCUCGUAUCGAUGAAGAACGCAGCGAAACGCGAUAUUUCUUGUGAAUUGCAGAAGUGAAUCAUCAGUUUUUGAACGCACAUUGCACUUUGGGGUAUCCCCCAAAGUAUACUUGUUUGAGCGUUGUUUCUCUCUUGGAAUUGCAUUGCUUUUCUAAAAAAUCGAAUCAAAUUCGUUUGAAACAUCCAUUCUUCAACCUCAGAUCAAGUAGGAUUACCCGCUGAACUUAAGCAUAUCAAUA